GCCGAAGUGGUGAAAUUGGCAGACGCACUGGACUCAAAAUCCAGCGGGGUUAAACCCGUGCCGGUUCAAGUCCGGCCUUCGGCACCA
RNAcentral lists this transfer RNA (87 nucleotides) under Ruminiclostridium sufflavum DSM 19573. RNAcentral's name for it is "tRNA-Leu". It matches the Rfam family "tRNA". From Rfam's summary of the family: Transfer RNA (tRNA) molecules are approximately 80 nucleotides in length. Their secondary structure includes four short double-helical elements and three loops (D, anti-codon, and T loops). Lineage: Bacteria; Bacillati; Bacillota; Clostridia; Eubacteriales; Oscillospiraceae. The record is from RNAcentral.